RNAcentral lists this transfer-messenger RNA (369 nucleotides) under Microbacteriaceae. RNAcentral's name for it is "Microbacterium sp900114345 Standard tmRNA". It matches the Rfam family "transfer-messenger RNA". Rfam says of the family: Bacterial tmRNA, also known as 10Sa RNA or SsrA, is named for its dual tRNA and mRNA-like properties. Its role is to liberate the mRNA from a stalled ribosome. The record is from RNAcentral. Lineage: Bacteria; Bacillati; Actinomycetota; Actinomycetes; Micrococcales. RNAcentral also lists the same sequence under 1 other name.
GGGGAUGAUCGGUUUCGACAUCGCCUGAGCUCCUGCGAGAAGCGGGCCGAGGAUGCAGGGUUAUCUCGUAAACGAUCCUUGCAAAAAGAUAACUGCCGAAAAGCAGAAGUCUGCCUUCGCCCUCGCUGCAUAAGCGAGCCUGAAGGCCGUCAGACCGUAGGCGUUCCCGCUACGGACCCUGGCGUCAUCUAGGGAACUUGCUGCGUGACGGCGUCUGGACGUCACGUGGGACUCUUCCCAGGCUGGGCCUGUCGACCUGGAUGCCUGUGGCAAAGGUCGGGGCCGAGCAGAACGUCAGCACAGGCUACGCCCGUAGAAGGCGCAGAGACACAGCGAUGGACGGGGGUUCGAUUCCCCCCAUCUCCACCA